RNAcentral lists this ribosomal RNA (721 nucleotides) under uncultured Ralstonia sp. Its description in RNAcentral is "bacterial SSU rRNA". It matches the Rfam family "Bacterial small subunit ribosomal RNA", at positions 696 to 1419 of the family's 1533-position model. Lineage: Bacteria; Pseudomonadati; Pseudomonadota; Betaproteobacteria; Burkholderiales; Burkholderiaceae. The record is from RNAcentral.
AUGUGGAGGAAUACCGAUGGCGAAGGCAGCCCCCUGGGAUAACACUGACGCUCAUGCACGAAAGCGUGGGGAGCAAACAGGAUUAGAUACCCUGGUAGUCCACGCCCUACACGAUGUCCACUACGUUGUUGGGGAUUCAUUUCCUUACUAACGUAGCUAACGCGUGAAGUUGACCGCCUGGGGAGUACGGUCGCAAGAUUAAAACUCAAAGGAAUUGACGGGGACCCGCACAAGCGGUGGAUGAUGCGGAUUAAUUCGAUGCAACGCGAAAAACCUUACCUACCCUUGACAUGCCACUAACGAAGCAGAGAUGCAUUAGGUGCUCGAAAGAGAAAGUGGACACAGGUGCUGCAGGGCUGUCGUCAGCUCGUGUCGUGAGAUGUUGGGUGAAGUCCCGCAACGAGCGCAACCCUUGUCUCUAGUUGCUACGAAAGGGCACUCUAGAGAGACUGCCGGUGACAAACCGGAGGAAGGUGGGGAUGACGUCAAGUCCUCAUGGCCCGUAUGGGUAGGGCUUCACACGUCAUACAAUGGUGCAUACAGAGUGGUUGCCAAGCCGCGAGGUGGAGCUAAUCCCAGAAAAUGCAUCGUAGUCCGGAUCGUAGUCUGCAACUCGACUACGUGAAGCUGGAAUCGCUAGUAAUCGCGGAUCAGCAUGCCUCGGUGUAUACGUUCCCGGGUCUUGUACACACCGCCCGUCACACCAUGGGAGUGGGCUUUA